GGGACAAAACAUGGCAGUCGAGCGAUGAACCCCUUCGGGGGUGGAUUAGCGGCGGACGGGUGACUAACACGUGGGUAACCUGCCUCAAAGUGGGGGAUAGCCUUCCGAAAGGAAGAUUAAUACCGCAUAAAGCCAAGUUUCACAUGGAAUUUGGAUGAAAGGAGUAAUUCGCUUUGAGAUGGACCCGCGGCGCAUUAGUUAGUUGGUGGGGUAAUGGCCUACCAAGACAGCGAUGCGUAGCCGACCUGAGAGGGUGAUCGGCCACAUUGGAACUGAGAUACGGUCCAGACUCCUACGGGAGGCAGCAGUGGGGAAUAUUGCACAAUGGGCGAAAGCCUGAUGCAGCAACGCCGCGUGAGUGAUGAAGGUCUUCGGAUUGUAAAGCUCUGUCUUUUGGGACGAUAAUGACGGUACCAAAGGAGGAAGCCACGGCUAACUACGUGCCAGCAGCCGCGGUAAUACGUAGGUGGCGAGCGUUGUCCGGAUUUACUGGGCGUAAAGGGUGCGUAGGCGGAUGUUUAAGUGAGAUGUGAAAUACCCGGGCUUAACUUGGGUGCUGCAUUUCAAACUGGAUAUCUAGAGUGCAGGAGAGGAGAAUGGAAUUCCUAGUGUAGCGGUGAAAUGCGUAGAGAUUAGGAAGAACACCAGUGGCGAAGGCGAUUCUCUGGACUGUAACUGACGCUGAGGCACGAAAGCGUGGGUAGCAAACAGGAUUAGAUACCCUGGUAGUCCACGCCGUAAACGAUGAGUACUAGGUGUAGGAGGUAUCGACCCCUUCUGUGCCGCAGUAAACACAUUAAGUACUCCGCCUGGGAAGUACGAUCGCAAGAUUAAAACUCAAAGGAAUUGACGGGGGCCCGCACAAGCAGCGGAGCAUGUGGUUUAAUUCGAAGCAACGCGAAGAACCUUACCUGGACUUGACA
Molecule: ribosomal RNA, 923 nt
Filed under: Clostridium tyrobutyricum
Lineage: Bacteria; Bacillati; Bacillota; Clostridia; Eubacteriales; Clostridiaceae
Description: bacterial SSU rRNA
Rfam family: Bacterial small subunit ribosomal RNA
Source: RNAcentral